This 253-nucleotide ribosomal RNA is filed under the name uncultured bacterium. RNAcentral describes it as "partial 16S ribosomal RNA". It matches the Rfam family "Bacterial small subunit ribosomal RNA", at positions 524 to 776 of the family's 1533-position model. The record is from RNAcentral.
GACGGAGGAUGCAAGCGUUAUCCGGAAUUAUUGGGCGUAAAGCGUACGCAGGUGGUUGAUCAAGUCUUUUGUUAAAGCGCGAAGCUCAACUUCGUAAAGGCAGAAGAAACUGGUUAGCUAGAGUAUGGUAGGAGCAGGAGGAAUUCCCGGUGUAGCGGUGAAAUGCGUAGAUAUCGGGAAGAACACCAGCGGCGAAAGCGUCCUGCUAAGCCAUAACUGACACUCAUGUACGAAAGCUAGGGGAGCGAAUGGG